CUUAGAUGCCUUUUCCAGCAGUGCAGCUAGAAGGCUGUGGUGUUCCAUGUGGUCUAUGGGAUCUCCAGGCCGAGUUACUGCACUGGGAAGCACUAACAGGGUUGGGGUAACAUUUUAAAAAACCUGAACAAAAGCUGCAGCAUGAAGUAUUGAAGCUUUCUGCAAGAUCUUUCCUGCUGUCUGACCAGUCAGAUUCCCAGCUGCCCUCGGUGCUUCAAGUGUCCUGGAUCAUUCAAAAGAGAAGACUGCGAGCCACUGGCAGAGAAAACUUAAACUUUUAAUUUUUAAUUUUCAGCAACUGGAAAGGGCCUUGAUUACAGAGGUGUGUGAGCCGUGUGGUGAUGCAGCCAUUAAGGUAUGACCAGGGGCCCAAAAACACAGGCACACAAGAAGAACCCAUCAAAAGUCGGUAUUGAAAUGACAGUAUGUUCCUUAGGUCGCUUGUGCUUUGCCACUUCAUACAAUAUAUCCUCAUCAAUAGGAGUCACACCGCCUAAGAAGCAUUUUCCUCUUUGAAUCACUCAUCCACCAACUUUUUUCAGCAUGGUGCCUCAUGACUGACAGAACCACAUUGGGAAGGUUUUCUGGGGCAGAACAAAGAUGGUCUGUUUCCUUCCAAUGAAAAGCUUGUCUGGCAUUAGGUGGGAAAUUGGCUCUGUGGCAGAUCUGCAUCUGGAUAGCAGGACCCAAUUCUCAAAGAAAAAAAUCAAGCUACAUAUAAUGGGGGGAGGGGAGGACACCCAAACCUCACACCUCUGUCAGGGAUCACCAUCCUCCCCACCCCACAACACUUUUCUGAAUCACCAAGAGUCUUUGGAGCAGAGUCAAACAAGCAAGCAAAACCAGCCAGCCUACAAUAGAGGGGUUUGAAGAGGAACUCCGUCUCAGGGGUAGGGGUGCUGUUUAUAGGGUUGCCAGAUGGUUUCAACAAAAAUACCGGACACGCUUGACAU
Non-coding RNA from Pelodiscus sinensis (Chinese soft-shelled turtle), 953 nucleotides. NCBI's taxonomy places the organism in Eukaryota, Metazoa, Chordata, Testudines, Trionychidae. The record is from RefSeq and is a predicted model, not a curated record.